CCCUUAGAUGUUCUGGGCUGCACGCGCGCUACACUGAAGCGUUCAACGAGUAUUCACCUUGCCCGGGAGGGUUGGGUAAUCUUUUUAAAACGCUUCGUGAUGGGGAUAGAUUAUUGCAAUUAUUAAUCUUGAACGAGGAAUUCCUAGUAAACGCAGAUCAUCAAUCUGCAUUGAUUACGUCCCUGCCCUUUGUACACACCGCCCGUCGCACCUACCGAUUGGAUGGUCCGGUGAAGCCUCGGGAUUGUGGUUCUUGCCGCUUUAUUGUGGCGUGACCGCGAGAACUUGUCUAAACCUUAUCAUCUAGAGGAAGGUGAAGUCGUAACA
RNAcentral lists this ribosomal RNA (327 nucleotides) under uncultured eukaryote. RNAcentral's name for it is "partial 18S ribosomal RNA". It matches the Rfam family "Eukaryotic small subunit ribosomal RNA", at positions 1470 to 1796 of the family's 1831-position model. The record is from RNAcentral.